This is a long non-coding RNA of Neopelma chrysocephalum (saffron-crested tyrant-manakin), 1304 nucleotides long. RefSeq lists it as uncharacterized. The transcript is spliced from 2 exons. The record is from RefSeq and is a predicted model, not a curated record. Lineage: Eukaryota; Metazoa; Chordata; Aves; Passeriformes; Pipridae.
CCCGCUGGAUGCUGCCAUCUGCGGACAGAAAGGCAUGUUAUGGAGACAUGGAACACAAAGCAUCUGCACCCAGCUUUGUCUUUGGGAACAUGGCCAGUGUCUGGGAUCAGGUGCGAGGAGUCUCCCCCUUCCACAGUCACAGGCACAAUUUAAUUAGUUAAUUAAUUAAAGGUUAAUAAAUAAAGGUUAAUCAGGACCCUCAGAAAUGCAGUUGUAACACUCACAGCAUUUUCUUAAAUCUUUUCCUAUUACCCUACCAUUACUAUGAAAAAAAUACCUGAUAUUCAGGCAGUCUCUCACUCUGUGUGGAAGAAGGUAAGUGACACGGUGGUACAACAGCUGGAACUGAUGCCUGUAUUAUCAGUCUCAUUAAAAGGUACAUGUUUCAAAUAAUAUCCUCCAUCAGAGGUUUGCAAUUUUGCUCCAUACUGCAUUCUGGAGAAGCACCUCAGAAUAAGUAACAGGAUUACAUCCAAAACCUGUUCAGUGUAAGAUGAUAAGCUGUGAGGGAAGAAUGUGUUUCACUGGACAGAAGAGGAAGAGGGGUCUCUCUAACCUCCUGAGAGCUCUGUCUUCCUCCCCACCCUGUUGGAGGUAGGAAAAACCCUGGAUCCACCUGAUGGUGUGUCCGCAGCUGGUGUUUGUGGUAACUCUUGUCCUUGGUUCAGGUCACGUUCUGGUGGAUUUGGGGGAGCUGCAGUGGGUUUAAGUGGAGUCGCUGGAGCUGCAGGUUGAGAUGGGGGCUGUGCAAGGUCAUCAGGCGGAGGAACUGGAAACACCGUGGGCUUGGAGGAGCUCGAUUCUUUAUUUAUAAGCAGCACAUGGAUAGGUCCUGAACUACUUUUAAGAUUGAUCUGGUAUUUCUUCUGUCCAUUCUGUCCCUGUAAAGGUGGUGUAUUAUGAAAGUUACUGUUCCUUGAGAACUCGACACUGUACAAGGUGAUGAAGACUAAGUUCAGCUGUUUUGGUCCUCGACAAAAAAAAAAUAAAAAAAUACAGCCCAACAUUACAGCUGCUAACUUGGGUCCUGCAGAGAACCUUACCAUUGCCUGAACUGAUUUCGGCAGAGACGGACAAAGAUAGUACCACUGAUCAGCUUCAUGGCUCUAGCUUGGGAUGCUUUUACGAUAUUAGACUGUGCUUAGCUCACUAAAAAUAGCUUGUGAAACUUCUCAGGUGAAUUUCAGCCUUCUAAAAGCACAGUGGCUAUCAUGCUUCAUACAAUGCUCUCUCCCAACUAUGUAAACACUAUUUAAAACCGAGCACUGCAACAACAAAAAAAAAUAAAGAUGGACAGAGGUAAA